GACGAACCGUCCGAACGUUAUUCGGAAUCACUGGGCUUAAAGCGCGUGUAGGCGGGUCGACACGUCCGACACUGAAAUCCCCCGGCUCAACCGGGGAACUGGUCCGGAUACGAUCGACCUGGAGGGAGGUAGGGGGGGCCUGGAACUUCCGGUGGAGCGGUGAAAUGCGUUGAGAUCGGAAGGAACGCCCGUGGCGAAAGCGAGGCCCUGGACCUUUUCUGACGCUGAGACGCGAAAGCCAGGGGAGCGAACGGG
RNAcentral lists this ribosomal RNA (255 nucleotides) under uncultured bacterium. RNAcentral describes it as "partial 16S ribosomal RNA". It matches the Rfam family "Bacterial small subunit ribosomal RNA", at positions 524 to 776 of the family's 1533-position model. The record is from RNAcentral.